GACGAACGCUGGCGGCGUGCUUAACACAUGCAAGUCGAACGGAAAGGCCCUGCUUUUGUGGGGUGCUCGAGUGGCGAACGGGUGGGUAACACGUGAGUAACCUGCCCUUGACUUUGGGAUAACUUCAGGAAACUGGGGCUAAUACCGGAUAGGAGCUCCUGCUGCAUGGUGGGGGUUGGAAAGUUUCGGCGGUUGGGGAUGGACUCGCGGCUUAUGAGCUUGUUGGUGGGGUAGUGGCUUACCAAGGCUUGGACGGGUAGCCGGCCUGGGAGGGUGACCGGCCACAUUGGGACUGAGAUACGGCCCAGACUCCUACGGGAGGCAGCAGUGGGGAAUAGUGCACAAUGGGCGGAAGCCUGAUGCAGCAACGCCGCGUGCGGGAUGACGGCCUUCGGGUUGUAAACCGCUUUCGCCUGUGACGAAGCGUGAGUGACGGUAAUGGGUAAAGAAGCACCGGCUAACUACGUG
This 468-nucleotide ribosomal RNA is filed under the name uncultured bacterium. RNAcentral's name for it is "partial 16S ribosomal RNA". It matches the Rfam family "Bacterial small subunit ribosomal RNA", at positions 28 to 507 of the family's 1533-position model. The record is from RNAcentral.